Molecule: ribosomal RNA, 163 nt
Filed under: Oncocalamus mannii
Lineage: Eukaryota; Viridiplantae; Streptophyta; Magnoliopsida; Arecales; Arecaceae
Description: 5.8S ribosomal RNA
Rfam family: 5.8S ribosomal RNA
About the family: 5.8S ribosomal RNA (5.8S rRNA) is a component of the large subunit of the eukaryotic ribosome. It is transcribed by RNA polymerase I as part of the 45S precursor that also contains 18S and 28S rRNA.
Source: RNAcentral
GGUACGACUCUCGGCAACGGAUAUCUCGCUCUCGCAUCGACGAAGAACGUAGCGAAAUGCGAUGCGUGGUGUGAAUUGCAGAAUCUCACGAACCAUCGAGUCUUUGAACGCAAGUUGCGCCCAAGGCCAUCCGACCGAGGGCAUGCCUGCCUGGGUGUCAUGC